CACGUCCAUCCCGGAAGUGUCAAGCCUGACUCCCUUUAGCUCACCGUUCCCUGUCCCGCCUCUCAUCAGGGUAAAAUACCUCACCCCUGCAGACAGAGACAGAUGGGGGGAAGCAGGCGCAGCCCCCCCCCCCCCCCCCCCCCCCCCCCCGCUCAGCUCGGGUGAUUUAUGCCAUCCUGGCGCAGACCUGCGCACGUGCACACUUGCAUGUGAUCAUACAUCACCGGAUGGCAGCGCAUGCAUAAGUACGCGCGAACCGGCCGCCGCCUCUGAGCCGCAUGCGUGACGGCACCUGUCUGGUGUUUUUUUUUGCUAAAUGUCAGAGCUCCAGCUUCCUGGGAGGAAAUGUGCAGAUUUGAAAGAGAGGCAGCACACUGACAUAAUUUGUCCCUCCUCUGUGACAGCUAAAGAGGGCGAAUUCCUCCCGCUUAAUCCAUCUGCCUGAGGUGUCCCUUAAUCUGCCUGAGGUGUCGGCCCGAGCUGCAUUCGCCCGCCCCGCGGAUUGAUCAGCGGCUUGACUUUCUGCCGAAUGUCAACCAGGCAAACAGUGGGAAUUCCUGGGAACGCGGCAGAAGAAAGGCUGAAGGGUUUGCGUCUUUAGUCUGCGCUGGGGGGGGGGCGAGCGGGUGGGCGGGGGCUGCAACAAGGAUGCGCUCGCCGUGUGCAAGACAACAAUUUGUGAGUAAGGCACGGAACCGACGCCACAGUCAGCCAGUGGCAACUGCUGGAUCAGGUACAACUAGAGGAUUGUGGGACAUUUGGGGUUCAGGUACUUGGCUUUGCCUCCAAGACAACAGAAACCAUUUGUGAUGCAAUGGGAGCCUCCAUUACUCACCCACAGGUCCAGUGAGAGAGAUGUGUGCCUGCAGAGAUGAACGUUCGGAUGGAAGACAGCCAAGGACACGCAUAGAUUUUACAGCAGGGGAUGAAGUUCGGCCUCUCUGAGACGGUUGGUGCAAGCGUGGCUGUUCCAGCAGCUCCGGCUGUGAACUGCUGUCAGUCAACGGCGUCAUUCACAUCCUUUGUUCUACAGUAAUAAACGUACGUUGCCCUUGAAGAUGAGACGUCUGUGCCAAUGAAGCCACUUCAGACAAAUAGAUUCAAGUGGUUUAAGUCGUGUUUACUUCCAUUUUAUAUGGAGGCAUCAUUUGGAAUUUAAGAUGUAUGAUCAGAAGAGCCUUCACCACCUUCGUAGAUCAAUAG
Molecule: long non-coding RNA, 1203 nt
Filed under: Takifugu rubripes (torafugu)
Lineage: Eukaryota; Metazoa; Chordata; Actinopteri; Tetraodontiformes; Tetraodontidae
Description: lncRNA (ENSTRUG00000027324.1)
Source: RNAcentral